GACGAACGCUGGCGGCGUGCCUAACACAUGCAAGUGGAGCGACGAACCAGGCUUCGGCCUGGGGCAAGGCCGCGAACGGGUGAGUAACACGUGGGUAACCUGCCCUGAUGAUUGGGACAACCCGAGGAAACUCGGGCUAAUACCGAAUGUGCCCUCCGGCCUCAAGGCCGCUGGGGAAAGGAAGCUUCGGCCUCCGCGUCGGGAUGGGCCCGCGGCCCAUUAGCUUGUUGGUGAGGUAACGGCNCACCAAGGCGACGAUGGGUAGCUGGUCUGAGAGGACGAUCAGCCACACUGGGACUGAGACACGGCCCAGACUCCUACGGGAGGCAGCAGUGGGGAAUCUUGCGCAAUGCGCGAAAGCGUGACGCAGCAACGCCGCGUGGGGAAGAAGGCCUCGGUGU
RNAcentral lists this ribosomal RNA (401 nucleotides) under uncultured bacterium. RNAcentral's name for it is "bacterial SSU rRNA". It matches the Rfam family "Bacterial small subunit ribosomal RNA", at positions 28 to 423 of the family's 1533-position model. The record is from RNAcentral.